GAAAAAAUGCGUGUGCGCGAGUCUUGGGUGCAAACCUAAAGGCGCAAUGAAAGUGUCAGAGGGGAGCCUCCUCCGGGAGCGCUCUCCGCAGGGAGGAUGGGCCGCCGUUCAAUUAUUUGUCGGAGCCCCGCACUCCCGGGGCGUCUCGUUCUCAUUACGAGUAGAGACGCACCAGGAGCGCACACGCUGGUAUCCGAAAGAUGGUGAACUAUGCCUGGCCAGGACGAAGCCAGGGGAAACCCUGGUGGAGGUCCGAAGCGAUUCUGACGUGCAAAUCGAUCGUCUGAGCUGGGUAUAGGGGCGAAAGACCAAUCGAACCAUCUAGUAGCUGGUUCCUUCCGAA
RNAcentral lists this ribosomal RNA (343 nucleotides) under Adrisa magna. RNAcentral describes it as "eukaryotic LSU rRNA". It matches the Rfam family "Eukaryotic large subunit ribosomal RNA", at positions 668 to 965 of the family's 3401-position model. Lineage: Eukaryota; Metazoa; Arthropoda; Insecta; Hemiptera; Cydnidae. The record is from RNAcentral.